Molecule: non-coding RNA, 21 nt
Filed under: Arabidopsis thaliana (thale cress)
Lineage: Eukaryota; Viridiplantae; Streptophyta; Magnoliopsida; Brassicales; Brassicaceae
Source: RNAcentral
UCAGAGUAGUUAUGAUUGAUA